CAGGGAAGAAGCGAAAGUGACGGUACCUGCAGAAGAAGCGCCGGCUAACUACGUGCCAGCAGCCGCGGUAAUACGUAGGGCGCAAGCGUUGUCCGGAAUUAUUGGGCGUAAAGAGCUCGUAGGCGGCUUGUCACGUCGGUUGUGAAAGCCCGGGGCUUAACCCCGGGUCUGCAGUCGAUACGGGCAGGCUAGAGUGUGGUAGGGGAGAUCGGAAUUCCUGGUGUAGCGGUGAAAUGCGCAGAUAUCAGGAGGAACACCGGUGGCGAAGGCGGAUCUCUGGGCCAUUACUGACGCUGAGGAGCGAAAGCGUGGGGAGCGAACAGGAUUAGAUACCCUGGUAGUCCACGCCGUAAACGGUGGGAACUAGGUGUUGGCGACAUUCCACGUCGUCGGUGCCGCAGCUAACGCAUUAAGUUCCCCGCCUGGGGAGUACGGCCGCAAGGCUAAAACUCAAAGGAAUUGACGGGGGCCCGCACAAGCAGCGGAGCAUGUGGCUUAAUUCGACGCAACGCGAAGAACCUUACCAAGGCUUGACAUAUACCGGAAAGCAUCAGAGAUGGUGCCCCCCUUGUGGUCGGUAUACAGGUG
Molecule: ribosomal RNA, 588 nt
Filed under: Streptomyces aureus
Lineage: Bacteria; Bacillati; Actinomycetota; Actinomycetes; Kitasatosporales; Streptomycetaceae
Description: bacterial SSU rRNA
Rfam family: Bacterial small subunit ribosomal RNA
Source: RNAcentral